This 1677-nucleotide long non-coding RNA is filed under the name Mus musculus (house mouse). RNAcentral describes it as "long non-coding RNA chr7:112903279-112904956". The record is from RNAcentral. Lineage: Eukaryota; Metazoa; Chordata; Mammalia; Rodentia; Muridae.
GGCGAGGCUGAAGCAAGCGCCUUUUGUUUCCUCAGAGGACAGUUCUCCAGCCGCAGGCUCUGAGUCAAAUUUCUAUUUACCAUACAUCCCAGCAGCAAUGUCCUGUCCACACACCAGCCAAAAGAAAACCCUUGGUGUUAAAAUUCUUCAGAGGACUUUUAGAUCCAGGUCUUCUUUCGGCUUCGAUACCACAGUGGCGUUAGCCAUCAUUUUUAUACAACCACAUGUUAUUGAAGUCACCUGAUGGUCAGUUUUACAAACCAGGUACCUGUAAUUUGUAUAAUUUUGUAUAUGCUCUGGCGUCCCAUGGAAGGGUAGAAUACCUGUGUGUUGGUGUCCUCACCUGUGACAUUAGGAUGCUUGAGUUCCUGGCCUCUUCUAUGUUGAUGUUUCUGUGGCUAAGCCCUGCACGUGUCAUUUCUGAAAAGCCUUAAAUCUUAGAGAAGUCACAUCGCAGGGUGUCAGUGUGACAGGCUGCCUGGGAACCGUGAGCCCUUUUGUAAGCUGGAAGCAUUUCUCUUACUACUGUUACUUUUCAUAGUUUUCAGUUCACAGCUGCCAAAGCCUCCCAGAAAAGCCGUGCCUUAGUACUACCUUGUAGCCGCCAGCCUUUUCUCAGCCUGUUCUGGGUGCCCACUUGCUAAUUGGCCCCGUAUCAGAAGCAGGACAAGCCAAAAUCCUUCUCAUUUGUGUUUCAAAAGCCCGUUUUUAAAUCCAGCUCUAUAGGAAGCUGAUGACUUGGUUUCAAACAACCUGAAUCAGAACCCAAGUCGAUUCUUUGACCAUGCUCUCACGAACGUAUCCAUACCAAAACUAAAGGCUGCACCUCCGCAGCUUGCUAUGAAGAGCGAAUUGUACUUUUCAUUGAUGCCUUUUUCAAUCCAUGACCAAAUACUUAGCUAUUUGUGAAUCUUCUGCACUCCAGCUUGAAAGUGCCUUUGGCUCGAGAUUCCAGCUUAGAAAGUGCCACCAUAAUAACGACAAUUUGUAGAGAGACCAAAAAUAUUUCGAGAUCACCAUAAUGCCUUUGGUUAACCGGGAUGAAUAACCAACCGCAGGCUUGUAUUCAUGAGAGCACCGAGCAACGUGUGGUCCCUGCCUGCUGUGAGUCUGCCUGCCAAUGGGGAACCCCACCACCACUGUCCUGUACAGCAGUGUGGCAGCGGGGAGCCCUGCGAACUCUUGUGUCUGUGUAUGCCGCCUCUCCCGGCAUGUCCACCAACUCAUCACCCGGCUCUGCAUCCCUGGGAAGGAACUUAUGCGCAAGCACCGAAUCCCGGCCAGUGGGCAGACACCAUGGCUCUGCCUUCCCCCACUGUGUCCAUGUCCAGACUGUGGAGACUCAUCCACUGGAACGACAGUGUGCACUUGCCUGCCUACACGUUUGGUUGUUGGAAGCCUCGCAUUGAGAUGACAGUGCAGAACAAAAAUUAAAAAUGGGUUCAUUAGGGUCAUUGCAGUUGAAGUGUCUCUGGGCUGUUUUGCUGGCUCUGGAUGUCCGAAUGUGCUGUGAGGGACUUGCGAAGAGCACACCAUUUGCAACUCGGCAUUUUCAAGGACAUUCUAGCCCUCAGCCAACUCUUUAAAGUGUGUGUCAGCUUAGAGUAAAACCUUUUUUUUUUUAAUCUGGAAACCCCAUACUGUAAGGAGAAAGAACAAAGGAGGCAAAAAGAAGCC